Molecule: ribosomal RNA, 1032 nt
Filed under: uncultured Enterobacter sp.
Lineage: Bacteria; Pseudomonadati; Pseudomonadota; Gammaproteobacteria; Enterobacterales; Enterobacteriaceae
Description: bacterial SSU rRNA
Rfam family: Bacterial small subunit ribosomal RNA
Source: RNAcentral
CGGUAGCUAAUACCGCAUAACGUCGCAAGACCAAAGAGGGGGACCUUCGGGCCUCUUGCCAUCGGAUGUGCCCAGAUGGGAUUAGCUAGUAGGUGGGGUAACGGCUCACCUAGGCGACGAUCCCUAGCUGGUCUGAGAGGAUGACCAGCCACACUGGAACUGAGACACGGUCCAGACUCAUACGGGAGGCAGCAGUAGGGAAUAUUGCACAAUGGGCGCAAGCCUGAUGCAGCCAUGCCGCGUGUAUGAAGAAGGCCUUCGGGUUGUAAAGUACUUUCAGCGGGGAGGAAGGCGAUAAGGUUAAUAACCUUGUCGAUUGACGUUACCCGCAGAAGAAGCACCGGCUAACUCCGUGCCAGCAGCCGCGGUAAUACGGAGGGUGCAAGCGUUAAUCGGAAUUACUGGGCGUAAAGCGCACGCAGGCGGUCUGUCAAGUCGGAUGUGAAAUCCCCGGGCUCAACCUGGGAACUGCAUUCGAAACUGGCAGGCUAGAGUCUUGUAGAGGGGGGUAGAAUUCCAAGUGUAGCGGUGAAAUGCGUAGAGAUCUGGAGGAAUACCGGUGGCGAAGGCGGCCCCUGGACAAGACUGACGCUCGGUGCAAAAGCGUGUGAAGCAAACAGGAUUAGAUACCCUGGUAGUCACGCCGUAACGAUGUCGACUUGGAGGUUGUGCCCUGAGGCGUGGCAUCCAGAGCUACGCGUUAGUCGACCCCUGGAGAUACGGCCGCAGGUUAAACUCAAUGAUUGACGGGGCCCGCAAAGCGGGGAGCCUGUGGUUAAUUCGAUGCACGCGAAAACCUUCCUACUCUGAAAUCCAAAGAGUUAGCAAAUUGCUUUGGUCCUUCGGAACUUUUAAACAGGGGUGCAGGAUAUCGUAGCUCGUGUGUGAAUGUUGGGUAAGUCCGAAAUGAGGGAAGCCUUACCUUUGUGCCCCCGUUCGGCGGGACUCAAGGAAAUGGCAGUGAUAACUGGAGAAGGGGGGGUUGCACAAGUCUUGUGGCCUUAAAAUAGGGCACCCUUGCCAAAUGGCCCA